RNAcentral lists this ribosomal RNA (285 nucleotides) under uncultured fungus. RNAcentral's name for it is "5.8S ribosomal RNA". The stretch from base 1 to 154 matches the Rfam family "5.8S ribosomal RNA". Rfam says of the family: 5.8S ribosomal RNA (5.8S rRNA) is a component of the large subunit of the eukaryotic ribosome. It is transcribed by RNA polymerase I as part of the 45S precursor that also contains 18S and 28S rRNA. Functionally, it is thought that 5.8S rRNA may be involved in ribosome translocation. The record is from RNAcentral. Lineage: Eukaryota; Fungi.
AACUUUUGACAACGGAUCUCUUGGUUCUCCCAUCGAUGAAGAACGCAGCGAAAUGCGAUAAGUAAUGUGAAUUGCAGAAUUCAGUGAAUCAUCGAAUCUUUGAACGCACCUUGCGCUCCUUGGUAUUCCUUGGAGCAUGCCUGUUUGAGAGUCUUGAAUAUCUCUGCUUUUAUGUUUUUUUAUUAAGAUAUAACAAGUCAGGUCCUUGAGUCUGCUUGCGGUUUGUUACGAACACAAGCUUACUUUAAAUGAAUUAGCUGGAUUUCAGCAGAGUUGUUAAGUAAC